This 574-nucleotide ribosomal RNA is filed under the name Microascus cirrosus. RNAcentral describes it as "LSU rRNA". It matches the Rfam family "Eukaryotic large subunit ribosomal RNA", at positions 44 to 637 of the family's 3401-position model. Lineage: Eukaryota; Fungi; Ascomycota; Sordariomycetes; Microascales; Microascaceae. The record is from RNAcentral.
CAAUAAGCGGAGGAAAAGAAACCAACAGGGAUUGCCCCAGUAACGGCGAGUGAAGCGGCAACAGCUCAAAUUUGAAAUCUGGUCCCCCCGCGGGGCCCGAGUUGUAAUUUGAAGAGGAUGCUUCUGGCAAGGUGCCGUCCGAGUUCCCUGGAACGGGACGCCGCAGAGGGUGAGAGCCCCGUACGGUCGGACGCCGAGCCUCUGUGAAGCUCCUUCGACGAGUCGAGUAGUUUGGGAAUGCUGCUCAAAAUGGGAGGUAAACCCCUUCUAAAGCUAAAUACCGGCCAGAGACCGAUAGCGCACAAGUAGAGUGAUCGAAAGAUGAAAAGCACUUUGAAAAGAGAGUUAAAAAGCACGUGAAAUUGUUGAAAGGGAAGCGCUUGCGACCAGACUCGCGCCCGUCGGAUCAGCCGUCGCUCGUCGGCGGCGCACUCCGGCGGGCUCGGGCCAGCAUCAGUUCGCCUCGGGGGGAGAAAGGCGGCGGGAAUGUGGCUCCACGGAGUGUUAUAGCCCACCGCGUAAUACCCCCGGGCGGACUGAGGACCGCGCGUAUGCAAGGAUGCUGGCGUAAUGG